This 727-nucleotide ribosomal RNA is filed under the name Ligilactobacillus acidipiscis. RNAcentral's name for it is "bacterial SSU rRNA". It matches the Rfam family "Bacterial small subunit ribosomal RNA", at positions 60 to 754 of the family's 1533-position model. Lineage: Bacteria; Bacillati; Bacillota; Bacilli; Lactobacillales; Lactobacillaceae. The record is from RNAcentral.
AGUCGAACGCAAUCUUUUAACAAUGAGUGCUUGCACUCAGCGUUUUAAGUGCGAGUGGCGAACGGGUGAGUAACACGUGGGCAAUCUGCCCAAAAGUGGGGGAUAACACUUGGAAACAGGUGCUAAUACCGCAUCAACCGGCUGACCGCAUGGUCGGCCGGGCAAAGACGGCGUCAGCUGUCGCUUUUGGAUGAGCCCGCGGCGUAUUAACUAGUUGGUAAGGUAACGGCUUACCAAGGUGAUGAUACGUAGCCGAACUGAGAGGUUGAUCGGCCACAUUGGGACUGAGACACGGCCCAAACUCCUACGGGAGGCAGCAGUAGGGAAUCUUCCACAAUGGACGCAAGUCUGAUGGAGCAACGCCGCGUGUAUGAAGAAGGUCUUCGGAUCGUAAAAUACUGUUGUCAGAGAAGAACACGUGAUAGAGUAACUGCUAUGGCGCUGACGGUAUCUGACCAGCAAGUCACGGCUAACUACGUGCCAGCAGCCGCGGUAAUACGUAGGUGGCAAGCGUUGUCCGGAUUUAUUGGGCGUAAAGGGAACGCAGGCGGUCUUUUAAGUCUGAUGUGAAAGCCUUCGGCUUAACCGGAGAAGUGCAUUGGAAACUGGAAGACUUGAGUGCAGAAGAGGAGAGUGGAACUCCAUGUGUAGCGGUGAAAUGCGUAGAUAUAUGGAAGAACACCAGUGGCGAAAGCGGCUCUCUGGUCUGUAACUGACGCUGAGGUUC